Long non-coding RNA from Myodes glareolus (Bank vole), 509 nucleotides. RefSeq lists it as uncharacterized. Lineage: Eukaryota; Metazoa; Chordata; Mammalia; Rodentia; Cricetidae. The record is from RefSeq and is a predicted model, not a curated record.
AAGUCUUGAUUUCUAACUUAGUCUCUGUGUAGCUUCGCUCUCGUUUUCUGUUUGUAGAGUUGUUUCGUCAGGUCUGCAUCCCUGAGAACCCAUGCUCGCCUUGUCUGGGUCACUGGCUGCUGUGCACUUGCUCACGGGAUUCCUUCAGUCUCUGUUUUGCUUAUGUGAGGUCAGCAGUUAUGUUCCUCGUCAUUCUGGAGUUCAUAAAUGGCGUGACUCACUCAGACACUGGCGAGGGCACAGUUGGAGAGAGAAACUGUCAAGUUCUUGGUGUUAAGUGUGGGUGGCAUAAAUUUUGGGAAAGCGACAUCGCUGUUCCAGGUACCAGGACCACAGCGACUCACAGAAGAAAGAGUUAAUUUGGGUCUUACAGUUUCAGAGGAGGAUGCAUCCUUGAGACACUGAUUCAGAACCAGCCAAUUAUCCCUACCAAACGAGGAGACUCGCUGCGACCUUUAUAUUGGACUCUCCUGCUCCCAGAGUAGAAAUAAAUUUCUGUUCUUUAUCAA